This 2013-nucleotide long non-coding RNA is filed under the name Chlamydomonas reinhardtii. RNAcentral describes it as "long non-coding RNA (CREI_LNC000068)". Lineage: Eukaryota; Viridiplantae; Chlorophyta; Chlorophyceae; Chlamydomonadales; Chlamydomonadaceae. The record is from RNAcentral.
AGCCCCGCGCCACCCACUCCAUCAUCUCCCAAGCCGCCGUUGCCCCCUAGCCCCAAGUCGCCUGUGCCUCCCAGUCCGAGACCACCUUCACCUUCGCCGCCGCAGCCGCCUAGCCCUGCGCCGCCGUUGCCCCCUAGCCCCAAGCCGCCUGUGCCUCCAAGUCCUAGACCACCUUCACCUUCGCCGCCGCAGCCGCCUAGCCCUGCGCCGCCGUUGCCCCCUAGCCCCAAGCCGCCUGUGCCUCCCAGUCCUGGACCACCUUCACCUUCGCCGCCGCAGCCGCCCAGCCCUGCGCCGCCGUCACUUGCACCUCCCAGCCCCAACCCACCUGCGCCGCCCAGCCCCGCGCCUCCCUCGCCGCAGCCGUCUAGCCCCUCGCCUCCAUCGCCGCAUCCGCCUAGCCCUGCGCCUCCGUCGCCUACGCCUCCCAGCCCUGCUCCGCCGGCACCGCCCAGCCCGAAGCCGCCCAGCCCGACGCCGCCGAUACCCCCUAGCCCUAAGCCGCCGGCGCCUCCCAGUCCUAAGCCGCCUGUACCGCCGAGCCCGCGGCCGCCGUCACCACCUCGCCCGCCGCUUCCUCCGUUGCCCUCCAACGACUGCGUGUACCGCGGCUCCUUUGACACCCCGGUGGAUGUUAAGCGCGGCCCUGCGGUCACGUGUGCAGACCAGGCCGCCUGCCUGGACGUGAUCUUUGACGGCUCGCAGUGCGAGCAGGAUUACGCGGAUGUGGACGAGGUGGAGGAUCUGCAGCAGGGCGAUGGGGACAGCAGCAGCACUACUAGUACGGACGGGCAGCAAGGCAGCAGCUCCAGCCGGCGCCGGCGCUUGCAGACGACCAGCAGCAGCGACGACGGCCCAUAUCAGCAGGAUGUGUAUACGUACUGCAAGGUGUGCCUGGCGUGGUCCAACGCCCGUGGCGGCUGCGGCAAAGACACGCGCGACACGCUGAGCCACGUGUGCAGCGCGGACCGCUUCAUGGCCGUUGUGCCAGGGGCGGGCCAAGCGCCUGUGGUGGGCUCCACCAACAAGCUCAACAACUGGGAGAGCGGAGACCAGAGUGAGUGAUCAAGGCACGUUGCCUGCGUGCUUUACCCACUUUGAUUCGCAGAGCAAGCUCACGUGCUCUCGGCGGCCGCCUGCGUGCUAGUGCAUGCUGUAAGCGUACGUGCGACCACACCUAGCUACCUGAAGUGAAGUCGCAGGUGCUGAUGCAUCUGCUGUAUGCAUGAUUGCCCGCUUUGGAUGCAGACCGCUAUUGCCAAUGGGUGCGCUGGAACAGCAGCAGUACCUGGACCGAGGUGUACUGGAGCAUCAAAGACGGCAACGGCGAGUGCCUUCCUGCCGGCCAGACGGCGCCCCUGUCGGUCACUCUGCAGGGCCUGCGCGCGCAGUGCGGCGGGCGUCGCCGUAUUAACAGCACCACUGUAGCAGGCUGUGACAAGGGCAGUCAGUCCAACGAGUGCCUGUGGCGCAUUGACUUGCCUCUUCCCGGCUCCCCCGACUUUCAGUGCCGUGCGCCAUCGCCGCCCAGCCCGCGGCCGCCGGUGCCGCCUAGCCCUUCCCCACCCGCUCCACCCAGCCCUCGGCCGCCAGCGCCGCCCAGCCCCAAGCCUCCCUCACCGCAGCCGCCUAGCCCCGCGCCGCCGUCGCCUGCACCUCCCAGCCCUCGGCCGCCUGCGCCUCCCAGCCCUGCUCCGCCGGCGCCGCCCAGCCCCGCGCCUCCCUCGCCGCAGCCACCUAGCCCUGCGCCACCGUCGCCUGCGCCUCCCAGCCCUGCUCCGCCGGCGCCGCCUAGCCCCGCGCCGCCGUCGCCUGCACCUCCCAGCCCUCGGCCGCCUGCGCCUCCCAGCCCUGCUCCGCCAGCGCCGCCCAGCCCCGCGCCUCCCUCACCGCAGCCACCUAGCCCUGCGCCACCGUCGCCUGCGCCUCCCAGCCCUGCUCCGCCGGCGCCGCCUAGCCCCGCGCCGCCGUCGCCUGCACCUCCCAGCCCUGCGCCACCGUCGCCUGCGCCUC